UUUACUUUUGCAAAGAAAUUAAGUCAUUCUACCCCAGGCUGUCAGUGGGGUUCAAAACCUCAUUGUGAACAUUGAAACAAUGGCAGUGAGACCCAAACCAGGAGGAAGACUCCAGCAACUUGUAACAGACAUGCAGCAGCAAGGAAUGGCACACACAGAAUGAAGUACCAUUCUACAAGUUUCAGGAUGUCCCACUUUCGUAUUGUGAAGCCACAGUGCUGGCAGAAAAUGAGAGCAUCUACAUCAAAUCUCCACAACUGCAUCAGGGAGUAAAAGAUACUGUGAAUUCCACCAUUAAGCACCUUCAAAACAGAUUU
Sinocyclocheilus grahami is the source of this 317-nucleotide long non-coding RNA. RefSeq lists it as uncharacterized. The transcript has 3 exons. The record is from RefSeq and is a predicted model, not a curated record. Lineage: Eukaryota; Metazoa; Chordata; Actinopteri; Cypriniformes; Cyprinidae.